GGUGGCCUCUAGCCACCCUCAGCGUGCCUGGCCCAUCUGAGCUCAGAGGCUAAGCAGGGCUGGGCUACUUAGAACGUGGAUGGGAGACGGCUUGCAAAUACUAGGGGCCGUGC
Molecule: ribosomal RNA, 113 nt
Filed under: Meriones unguiculatus (Mongolian gerbil)
Lineage: Eukaryota; Metazoa; Chordata; Mammalia; Rodentia; Muridae
Source: RNAcentral